Molecule: ribosomal RNA, 497 nt
Filed under: uncultured bacterium
Lineage: Bacteria
Description: partial 16S ribosomal RNA
Rfam family: Bacterial small subunit ribosomal RNA
Source: RNAcentral
GAUGAACGCUGGCGGCGUGCCUAAUGCAUGCAAGUCGAGCGAACAGACGAGGAGCUUGCUCCUCUGACGUUAGCGGCGGACGGGUGAGUAACACGUGGAUAACCUACCUAUAAGACUGGGAUAACUUCGGGAAACCGGAGCUAAUACCGGAUAAUAUAUUGAACCGCAUGGUUCAAUAGUGAAAGACGGUUUUGCUGUCACUUAUAGAUGGAUCCGCGCCGCAUUAGCUAGUUGGUAAGGUAACGGCUUACCAAGGCGACGAUGCGUAGCCGACCUGAGAGGGUGAUCGGCCACACUGGAACUGAGACACGGUCCAGACUCCUACGGGAGGCAGCGGUAGGGAAUCUUCCGCAAUGGGCGAAAGCCUGACGGAGCAACGCCGCGUGAGUGAUGAAGGUCUUCGGAUCGUAAAACUCUGUUAUUAGGGAAGAACAAAUGUGUAAGUAACUAUGCACGUCUUGACGGUACCUAAUCAGAAAGCCACGGCUAACUACGUG